GUGCUCACUUUGGCAGCACAUUUACUAAAAUUGGAAAGACGCAGAGAAGAUUAGCAUGACCCCUGCACAGGGAGUAGAUGCAAAUUCAUGAAGCGUUCCAUAUUUUU
This is a small nuclear RNA of Saimiri boliviensis boliviensis (Bolivian squirrel monkey), 107 nucleotides long. The record is from Ensembl. NCBI's taxonomy places the organism in Eukaryota, Metazoa, Chordata, Mammalia, Primates, Cebidae.